RNAcentral lists this ribosomal RNA (253 nucleotides) under uncultured bacterium. RNAcentral describes it as "partial 16S ribosomal RNA". It matches the Rfam family "Bacterial small subunit ribosomal RNA", at positions 524 to 776 of the family's 1533-position model. The record is from RNAcentral.
UACGAAGGGGGCUAGCGUUGCUCGGAAUUACUGGGCGUAAAGCGCACGUAGGCGGGUUCUUAAGUCGGUGGUGAAAUCCUGGAGCUCAACUCCAGAACUGCCUUCGAUACUGGGAAUCUUGAGUCCGGGAGAGGUGAGUGGAACUGCGAGUGUAGAGGUGAAAUUCGUAGAUAUUCGGAAGAACACCAGUGGCGAAGGCGGCUCACUGGCCCGUUACCGACGCUCAGGCGCGACAGCGUGGGGAGCAAACAGG